Molecule: long non-coding RNA, 702 nt
Filed under: Marmota monax (woodchuck)
Lineage: Eukaryota; Metazoa; Chordata; Mammalia; Rodentia; Sciuridae
Source: RNAcentral
CUGGACAUGACUGGAGCAAGUAUCAAUAAAUCAGAAGCAAGUCAAUAGAAAUUAUACAAACUCACAAAUAAGCAGAAAAAAGAAAAUAAAAAAACAAAGCAACCAACUACAAGAAGAGUGUUUAAGAUCCAUCAGACAAUGUCAAACAGUUCACCAGAUGAACAGCUAGUGUCUCAGAAAUAGAGAGGAGAGAAGAGAUACUUGAAGAAAUAAUGGCUGAAAGUUUCCAAAAUUGAUGAAGAACAUCAGCUACAUACUAGAAACUCAGACAAUAUAAUGAAGGAAAAAUAGCACAUGAUUGUCAAACUUCUGAAAACCGAAGAUAGAGACAAAAUAUAAAAAGCCAUUGAUACGUGCAUUUUUAAUAUUACAUUUGGAAAAAUGAGGGCUGACUUCUCAUCAGGAACAAUGGAAGCAGAAGACAAAGAUAUAACUUCUGUAAAAUAUUGAAAUUAAAAAAACCCCUGAAAACCAAGGAUUUUAUAUCUGGUAAAAUGUUCUCUAAAAAUUAAGAGAAAAGAUGUUUUUUAAAAAGACGAAAUAGGAGGCAAUUUGUGGCUAUCUGAAUUGUGCUACCCAAAAUGGCAAAGAAAGUUCUUUGGGCUGAAUAUAAAGGAUCCUAGAUGUAAGGUCAGAUUCACAAAUAAAAAAUGAGAGCACUGAAAAUUUCAACAUGUGAAUAAAUAGAAAAGAGUAUUUAUU